CUCUUCAGUUUAUCAGAGACUACCAAUGACCAGUGGCUUAUAGAAUGUUCAAGGAGACCUGACAGCAGGCUUAUAGGACUCAUCCAAACCCUGAAGAGCCAACACUAUCUCCUUUCUGAACAAUAUUAUCGUUUCUGAUUUCCAAGAGUAAAGCAACCUCAAAUUCAAACUGCCUGUGAUGAAGGAGAGGCGUGGAGGCACCGUCCGUGAGAGGCAGACAACAGAAAGUCACAGACCACAGUAUGAGUUAAAAUAGGAAAUAUCAUCUGGAUGGCACGAAUUAACUAUAUCCCAGAGACAAGGAAGGAGCCAGAUUCGAAAUCCAAACUGUCUAGGAAGUAAUCUUCAGAAGCAGCUGUUAAAACAGAACACUUUCUGCUAUCUGCCAGGUGAGAUGCUUGACUUCUAAGUUUUCAAUGUUAAACAGGACAAGCUUCAUUCUCUAUCUUCUCCGAGAGGACUUCAUCUUCUCUUUGAAAGACUUCAGA
This 488-nucleotide long non-coding RNA is filed under the name Mus spicilegus (steppe mouse). RNAcentral describes it as "lncRNA (ENSMSIG00000012157.1)". The record is from RNAcentral. Lineage: Eukaryota; Metazoa; Chordata; Mammalia; Rodentia; Muridae.